CCAGACUCCUACGGGAGGCAGCAGUGGGGAAUAUUGGACAAUGGACCGAGAGUCUGAUCCAGCAAUUCUGUGUGCACGAUGAAGUUUUUCGGAAUGUAAAGUGCUUUCAGUUGGGAAGAAAGAAAUGACGGUACCAACAGAAGAAGUGACGGCUAAAUACGUGCCAGCAGCCGCGGUAAUACGUAUGUCACGAGCGUUAUCCGGAUUUAUUGGGCGUAAAGCGCGUCUAGGUGGUUAUGUAAGUCUGAUGUGAAAAUGCAGGGCUCAACUCUGUAUUGCGUUGGAAACUGUAUAACUAGAGUACUGGAGAGGUAAGCGGAACUACAAGUGUAGAGGUGAAAUUCGUAGAUAUUUGUAGGAAUGCCGAUGGGGAAGCCAGCUUACUGGACAGAUACUGACGCUAAAGCGCGAAAGCGUGGGUAGCAAACAGGAUUAGAUACCCUGGUAGUCCACGCUGUAAACGAUGAUUACUAGGUGUUGGGGGUCGAACCUCAGCGCCCAAGCAAACGCGAUAAGUAAUCCGUCUGGGGAGUACGUACGCAAGUAUGAAACUCAAAGGAAUUGACGGGGGCCCGCACAAG
Molecule: ribosomal RNA, 581 nt
Filed under: uncultured bacterium
Lineage: Bacteria
Description: bacterial SSU rRNA
Rfam family: Bacterial small subunit ribosomal RNA
Source: RNAcentral